CCCUUAGAUGUCCUGGGCCGCACGCGCGCUACACUGAGUGUCUGAGAUACGAGUCUGCCUGGUCCGGCAAGGUUUAGGUAAUCGCUAAAAGACACAUCAUGCUUGGGAUAGAUUAUUGCAAAUAUUAAUCUUGAACGAGGAAUUCCUAGUAAGCGCAAGUCAACAGCUUGCGUUGAUUACGUCCCUGCCCUUUGUACACACCGCCCGUCGCUACUACUGAUUGGAUGUUUAAGCGAGGUUCUCGAACUGCUAGCGACUUAGCUUCGGUGAGGUCGCAGUGUGGGAAGUGAACCUAGCUUUGGUGUCUAGAGGAAGUAAAAGUCGUAACA
RNAcentral lists this ribosomal RNA (329 nucleotides) under uncultured eukaryote. RNAcentral describes it as "partial 18S ribosomal RNA". It matches the Rfam family "Eukaryotic small subunit ribosomal RNA", at positions 1470 to 1796 of the family's 1831-position model. The record is from RNAcentral.